AUGCGUGCAGGCAUAGAGGAGGUCUUUCCAUCGGCAGUGCACAGGCACUGCAGGUGGCACAUUAUAAAGAAGGCUAAGGAGACGCUAGGACCGUUCUUUGCUAACCGUCCAGAGCUGCACAAGGCAUUCGAGCUGUGCAUAGACCACAGCUUGACCGUGGAGGAGUUUGAAAGGAGCUGGAUGGCCAUGAUUGAAACACAUCAAGUCCAAGACAACAAGACACUUGCUAACCUGUGGGAGAAGCGAAUGUACUGGGUGCCGGCCUACUUCAUGCAGUGCUUCUUCCCAUUUCUGCAGACUACGCAGUGCAGCAAGGGGUUCAAUGCUGUUUUGAAGUGGUACGUCAGCCCUGGCAACUCAUUGCUACAGUUUGCCAAGCAGUACAUAGCUUUGCAACAAAAAAUUCUAGGAUCUGAGCUACAGCAAGAAGCGACCACAACACUAAAGUAG
Molecule: ribosomal RNA, 450 nt
Filed under: Triticum aestivum (bread wheat)
Lineage: Eukaryota; Viridiplantae; Streptophyta; Magnoliopsida; Poales; Poaceae
Description: partial small subunit ribosomal RNA
Source: RNAcentral